UUGUUCUUCUACCAGACUGUCUGAAAAAUCUUAGUUUCACAUUGACUUAUGAAUGGCAAAAGCAAUUUGGAGCUGAUUUUCAAGAAAUCUUUCAAUGCCACUUCCCCGACAUAGCAAGACUUACUACCUGUUCAAAGAAUGUGAAGAGGGAAAAAGAGUUGAGGUUUCCAUAGUAACCUUCAGUAGUCCAAAGUAAAAUUGCAUAAAAUGAAAUCAUUAUCACUCAGCAACUAAAGAAGACAGCUCAGCUGAUGAAGAGCCAAGUUGUAAAUGACUGCUGCAUGCUACACAAGCUGGACAGAAAAGAGGACACAUCCUGGAGUAUUACAGAUAACGUGUUUUACAUAAGACAGGUUACACAAAGAAUGACUGCUGUGGAAGGAGAAUGCAGAAAUAACAAGCUGUGCAGCCCUGGCCUAACAUCAUCAAAGAAGAGUAUCAGGACCCAGGAAAAUGUAUUGGACCUCAGCUUUCUUUCUGGGGAUGAGGAAGAUGUGAUCAACAGUUUCUUAAACUAAGAUAAAGUGAUAUCUUUGUAACACAUGAAGAGCUAAAUUGACACACAGUAUUUUAUAAAGUUAGCACACACGUGACAGGUUGCACUACAUCUGUAAUUUGUAUGAUUGUUAUGGUGAGUCCAAACACCUAUUUUUUGCUACUGUUGACCAGUUUCUGAAGAAAGUAACUAGAGAGUGCACCCAAAAUAUUUUCCAAGACUAUUGAUUCUGUAAGUGGCAGCAUUCCUCCUGCAGUAUGAACAGGAGAACAUUCCAGAUCUUGUAUGCUCUAGCAGAAGUGAUAAAAGGAGGGUCUUUCGAGGCACUGAGGAAUGGGAGGGCCUCAUACCUUUUCCAGAGUGUCUGGACCUUCUUGUAGGUGGCAUGCUGAAAGAAUAAUUAGAGUAUACUAUAUACAAUUUGUCAUGAAAUGCAAAAAAAUACUCCUAUCUUUAUCCUCUUUGUUUUUAAGGUUAUUACUGAGCAAAGACUAAAUAGGCAUGAAUAGAGGUAAACGAAGAAAAUUGCAACAGUUAAAUCUCUGCAGUGUUCAAAAGCUGUUUCUAAUAUGAAGCAAUUAAAAUCAAAGCUAAUUUAUGCAAUCAAGGUGAGUGAAAAUUUUUAACUGUGAGAUAUAGUUAUGCCAGAUCAAAAAUCACACCUAUGUACCGUAUAUAAGAGGCUGAAAUGCCAAAGGCUAAUGACUCAAACAAUUGACUGUUCGCAAAAGCAGCAGCUACUUUGUUGAGACCAGCUUUGCAUCCCCAAAUUGAGGGGGAGGAGGAGAGGUUUGGCUGUGUGGUGGCGAAAAUUUCUGAUCCACAUGAAAAAAAGAGGGUCCGCACCCACUACCAGAGGAUGAGCAUGACAAACUCACUUUUUAUAUACAAAAUGAUUGAGCCCUGGAAUUAUUGUGUUCCUGAUAACAUGCUACUAAUGUCUUAAACAAGCUGUUUUCUGGCCAGAUAAGGGAAAAGAUCACUAAGAUGCAGAUCCCGCAGAGGUGGUGUGAUGCUUCCGUCAUUACAUUUCCACUUUGAUAGGCACUGCUGCCUCAACUGAAGUGAGAGAAGCAGGGCCAAAUAGCAGUCAUUUCAUUGAAAAGGGCUAUAAACCAUCAAUGACCCCUGAAACACCCCCAGGUUCAUUUCUGGGGCCUUCACCAUAGGACUUUGCACAAUCCACAGUAUUGUAAAAGGCAGUGUAAAAGUUUAUCUGCUCAGGGGAGGUGUUUGGGCAUUCCCACCCAAACCUGAAAGUAGGUCAAACCAUUGAAAUUUGUGUUUCAUGGGCUUCCCCCACCCCAAUGGAUAGAGAUUGCACUUAUUACUUCAAUCAAUGGGCAUCAAAAUUGUCACAUUUGAGUCUCAUCACUGCAUCCAUGGGUGAUGAUAUCUUCCUCUCCAUUAUCUAUUUUAUCCUUUCUUUCUCUUUCUUUCUUUCCCCUAUGUAUUUUCUUAAGCAAUAUUUUUAUACUUUUGUGUUGCUAUAUUUCUAUAGAUAAUAACUAAAACAGUUACAUCCCUGCUUUCCAUUUCAAUCAACUUGUUCUGAAAUAAACCUGCCAUAUAUAAAUAUAUAAAAACAUGGGUCUGUCAGUGUUGCUUAACUCUAUUUUUCCCCAAGUGAUCUAUUAACAAAAACUUCAGUUACCCUUGCCUUCAGGUGCAGGUUGCAACACCAUGUAGAUUGUUAAGAAACUAUUCCAACACAUAGCUCCCACAGAAGUUUAAGUAUGUUGGCCCAAAUGGAAUAUCAUCUCACAAAAUGAUUGUGGAAUUAAAUUUCUGUGGAAUCUUCAUUCCUCAUGCUGCUCAAAACACAGUUGUACAAGGCCCAGAGCAAUUGCAUGUAGCUCUGAAGUUACACACGUCAAGUAGGAAGUUAAGCUGGAAAAACUAAUGGGUUUCAUCACAAACAAUUUUUUCCCUGUUUUUCUACAGAUCUUCAAAACACACUUAUUAAAAAAAAAAAAAUAGUAUGGGGACCCAUGUAUAAAAAAAUUGUAGGAACAAAGGUAUUGCCUGAUUUUGUUUGCUUUCUUUACAAACUCCUUUCUUGUGUGGGAUGGGGACUGUAGUUUUCUCAGAAACAGAAAAAGAUUAUGAGAUCAUAUGCAUAUGGAAUUUCUGAUAGCAAGAGUCAUCAGAGGAGAAAAAUAAAAAAAAUUAAAUGGAACAAUAUAAGAAACAUAAAAGUAGAAGACAAUGCUUUAACAAUGUGUAGACACGUGAAUUCAUGUAGUUUUAUUUCAGGGCUAAAUAUAUGCACUGGGAACAUGCUAUUAGUAUCCAUCUUGUACAGACAUCUUGAAUUCUUAUUGCUGUUGUAUAGUAAGUCAAGAUUUAUAUUGUGAAGUGUUCAUUUACAAUCCUUUCUACCCGCAAUAAGUACCUUUAAAAAUGCAUUAUCUGCAUUAUCUGAGACAAAUGAUCAAGAGCUCAUUGAAAAAUUGCCGCACAUUUAUAACUAUGACUUUAUUACAAGUCACAGACCAUACAUUACUUUAAGUCUGAUCAGUACAGCAACGCGCCAAGGAAAACAGUGUUUAUAUCCUACUAAAAGUUGGGGUUUUUUUGGUUGUUGGAGUUUAGGGUCUUUUUGGUUUUUUAUUCCCUGCAAGGUGGCUUCCUGCUAAUGAUGAUCUGAGCAUCUCUGUAGCUACAGUUCUGCACAGGCUGCUUAAUGAAUUUUGCAGUGUCAGGAAGCCCUGACUUUGCAUACUGUACAGACUUGGAACUUUUAUAGCAACACACACAGCUUGCAGGAUUUCACUUGAUACAUAAUCUCUCUAUAUAUUACUGGCAAUAAGUAACAACUGUCUGUCUCAGCAGUCUAUAUCUCAUUACUAUUUAUGAUGGACUGGUCUGAACAACUCUCCUUCAACAGCAUUAUCUAUAACGCAGAUUCUGUUUUCUAUCUAAACCUCAUUUCCAGAAUGCAAGUGGUUUUGCCACUUCUGAAUCCAGUGUUAUCCAUUUUCAGCCUCCACAGCAUGGUUAGGACUGAAUGCAAGCUACCAUAUAUCCUACCUUGUUUCCUUAAAAACAGGAAUUCGGGCUCCAACAGGUAUCUAAUCUUCUCAAUAAAUGGCCAAGAUCCUUAGGUUGUUUUGCAUCAUCUCGGCAGAUAAUAAAUUCAAGGGCAUCAGAAAAUCACAGAUAAAGACCUUGAAGGAAUUAUUUCUGACUUUUGCAGGAAUUAUUUCAUAUAUUAAUAGAAGCCUGUAACUGUAAUUGUGUCACUUCAUGAGUUUCUAAUCAAAAGGGCAAUAGCUCUGGUAAAGUUAAUGAAAGAACAUGCAAAACAAGCAGCUUUUUGCUCUUCUUACUAAUCCACUCUUCUUCAUAACUGUGAUUCAGUGAUUCUGAGCUGCCCUUAGAUAGAAAUAGAAGGGGAGAUUUUGGUAAAGCAAGACAAAAAUCAUGACAUGCAUCUGAGGGUAUGAAAAUAUUCUUAUCUCUAAUUAAAAUCACUGAAAUGUACACUCAUGGACUAGUCAUAGUAGUUGUUUUGUUCUGAUCACACAUUAUGAAUUCACCAUAUGGGCUGUUCUGCUAAAAGCUUUUGUUUCCAUACCCUCCAACUCUCAGAGUUAAGAAAAUAACACAUAACAUUGAAUAAGACUCCAACAGUGCAUUUAUAUUGGUUCUCAGCUUGGCUUUUUUUCCUGUGGCAUUAUCAUCAAAAAGGACAGUGCAUGCUUCUUCAAUUAUUAGCUAAAUAUAGAGACUUAGAUGUUUAGAAAAAAUUCCCAGAUCCCAAAUGUAUAAAUUCACAUUUGUUUUAUGUCCAUAUUCAAUUAAAAUUUUAAAAAAGGAAAGAUAUAGGAUAAUAGAAUUUACAUACACUUUAGCCAAAGGGCACUCAUGUUCACUGAGAGGUUGCUUUUUUCUUCCCUUCGGGCUCUCUGAAGGAGCUCUCGACUCCACACAGCUGGCUUGCUAAAAGCUGAAUAAACCCACACUGCAGAACAUACAAUCCUGUUGGUAGCUUUUAUUUAAACAAACAAAAAGAAAUUACACCAAUAAUCAUUUCCCAAGGAUGAUUUAAUGUGUCUUGUUAUUCUGCUCAAUGCAUAUGGGUAGAUUUUGUUCAGUUAUAUAAAGACUGAAGUAAUUCAUAUAAUUCUAGUUUUAGAUCAAUAAGUGUGGUGGGUUGACACUGGCUGGGUGCCACAUGCCCAUCAAACCUGCACAAUACUCCCCUGUGCAGCUGAACAGGGGAGAAAAAAAGUAAUGAAACUGCUUGACAGUUCAGAUAAGGACAGGGAGAGAUCACUCACUCAUUACUGUCAUGUGUAAAACAAACUCAACUUUUGUAAAUUAAUUUAAUUAAUAAUCAAACAAAUCAGAGUAGACUAAUGCGAAAUAAGACAGACCUUAAAAAUUUUUUCCUCCCGCCUCUCCCUCCUUCACAGUCUCUACUGGCCACCCUCCUGAGAGGCACAAGAAAUGGGGAAUGGGCAUUAUAGUCACAUCAUGUUUCUUUUGCUGCUUCCUUCUCAAGGGCAGCUGUCCCUGUUCCAGUGUGGGGUCCAGACCUCAUGAACUUCUUCAGUGUGAGUCCUUUCCACAGACUGCAGUACUUCAUUAACUGCUCCAGCAUUGGUCUCCCAUAGUCCUACAAGGACAAAUGCUCCAGUGUGGGCUUCUCUUUCCACAGGUCUCUGGGUCUUGACAGGAACCUGCUAAAAUGUGGGUUUCCCACAAGGUCACAGCCUACUUUCAGUCAUCCAUCACGGUCUUUCAUGCACUGCAUGGGGACAGUUGUGUCAUCAUGAUCUUCUUCACAGGCUGAAGGGGAAUUUCAGCACCUGGAGCCCCUCUUUCCCUUCCUUUCUCCCUGGCCUUGCUGUCUGUGUGCUCUCACAUACUCUCAUUCUUCUCUUCCCUGACCUCUAUAAUUUCUGUGUCAUAAUCCUUUUUUUUCCCAUCUUAAAUAUGUUAUCACAGAGGCAUUACUACCAACUUUGAUGGCUGUCAGACAUGAUGAAAUUUUCUUUUACAGAAGCCACUCUGGCAAACUCCUACAACUUGCUCCAUUUCCAAAACCUGGUCAUGAAAACCCAAUACAGAGUAAAAUCAGAAUCCAUAAUUUUUGUUCAGAGGAGCCUAAUUUUUGUUAAAUAGAAAUUAAUAUUAGACAUAGAAUUCAACGCAAAACCUUAUCCUCGAUGAAGAUAAAUCAGCACAGCUCCAUAGGGUACAAUUGAGUUAUGCAAUUUAACCCCACCUGAUGGUUGUCCAAUCUUCUCUUAUAAUUAUAAUUGUAAUCUCAGACCUUGGGCAAGAUAUUGUUCAAAAAAUGGGGAGCAGUAAGAAGUGGUAUAUUUACUAAUUUUAGGAAACUAUAUACAGACUUUCAAACAGACACAUUAUAGCAGAAUUUAAAAUGAAUGUGAAAAUAAUUACUUAAUUAGCUUGCACAUUCAGUUAUAGUUAAUAAAGUAGCCACAUAGAAGAUAAAACGAAGUUAUCUCUUCCUCCUUGCUUUAUAAUAUUUUGUUGUACAGGCAUUGAAAUGAAAAUUGUAUUUUAAACAGAUAGAGUAACGCUGGGAUAUAUAUAAAACACAAUGAAAUAUGUUUAAUUUACAUGAAAUUAUAUUAAUAACUUCUGAUAAAUGUGUUGACAGGAAAAAUAUUCUUACAUGCUGGAAGGCAGAGGCUGAUUUUCCUAGGAUUUAUUUAUGGAAACAUACGGUGGUUAUUAUUUACUUUCCCAGUAAUGAUAAAAAUAUAUUUUGCAUGAGGAUUGUAAUUUACCUUUGAAUAUUUUCCAUAAUCCUUUUUUGAUGGAUUAUGAUAAUAAAAAAAUGAUGGAUAUUUGAGGGGAACUGAAGAAUCGAGUUUAAACCUGGAAGGAGUUGAAUGGUCUAAUAAUGUCCAAUGAGUUGAUGAUCAUACUCAUAGAGCUAGCGAGUUCCUAAUGCAAAGAAAGAAAGAGGAAUAGAAAAAAAAAAUCUAAAAAAUAUCUAUUUUUUUCAAAUUUUUUAGUCCUUUGACCUAGUAGGCUAAACUAAUAAGAGUGUAAAGGCUACAGUGGAGACUAAUGCUACUCUAAAAUUUUCCUCUAAAGAUCAGAAGUUAUUUCCAGACAUUUCAUAGUAAAUCUUGAGUAUGAGACCAAUAUGGAGAGAAGUGAUUAGUGUGAGACCCUUAACAAAUUACUAAUAGCAGUUGGAGCAGUGAAACUCUCAGCAGUUGACUUGCACAGAAACUUUCUUCAGGUGGUUGCUUAGGACUAAACAGAGCACAUGACCACUGAUGUUAAUCAUGGACCAAAAUCAAAUCUGACUUCACUGAAAGUUUCUGCCAGUAGUUAACAAGGAGGCUUAAAAACCAUCCUUCAUUGCCUAUUCCUUUUAAUUUUCUUCCAGCCAGUUAUUUAGGCAUUUCCUAUCACAGAAGCUACUUAAUAAGCGUGGAAACCAUACUUUGUCUGAAAAUUCUUAAAACUGAUGGUAUUCUUUAUAUUCACAACACCUUUUUGCACAAAUAUUUCCAUAAUUUAAGGGGUCAUUCACAAGUCUGGAUAAGGUAGGUAUCUCUCAAAAGUGGUAUGUACUAUGCAGAGAGUAGAUAUUUAAUUUAAAACAUUAUUUCUUAAAAUAAGUUAUCACAAAUCAUGUAAUAAUUAUUUUCUUCUCUAUCAAUAACUUCCCCAGAACAUGCUUCUCACUGGAAAUGGAUGAGAUAGUCUGUAAUCUUUUGCUGUUUGUUCUCAGUGUGCAGAAGAUGUGCAAAAGUCAGGAGAUAAAACAUCCACCAAGAACUGUUAAUAAGGCUAUCCCUAUGAUUUCAUACAAAGAAAUUCAACAUAAAUAUUUCAAAACCUGAAAACAAUCAGAUAAGAAUAAAAAAAAAUACAAUAUUGACAUGCAGUCUGCAAACAGACAUACAGAUGCAGAAAUUCCUGCUCAGAAAGGACCAUGUAAUUUAACAAGUUCACAACAUCUUCCUAGUCUCCAGAUAAUUCAGAAAUAUUGUUUUUGCCAUAUAUUAAUACAUAUUUAGGCCUUGUACUACCAAUAUGCACACAUGCAUGUUGUAUCGAGGACUUAUGGUAACUUCUCGUGAAGGACAACUGAAGUCCAUGUUUAGUCCCACAGAUCCAAAUAUAUUUCUUGAAGACAAAUUCUACGUGCCACCUGAGAAAGACAACAUUAGUCUCCAUGAAACUCAAAGUAUGUUAUGAACAUCAGUCCUAAGUAGCAUCCUACUAUACCUGAACAUUCUACAUUCAAAACCAUGAUUAACAUAGAAAGUUGAAUUUCAAUGAGAAGCAAACAAAAAAGAAACACAGAAUAGCUCCCUUAAAGGCUGCAGUAUUUCCAAGAACUUUAUCUUAUUUCUAUUCUUUUCAAUGAAUUCAUUGAGCCUUUCCAAAACACAUUAUUUCCAAUACACCCAUUCUAUAUUUUCCUGGUAAGAAAAAUAUAACAUCUAGUAGGAGUCUGAUUCAUAUGACUCUGUGGAUACAGUUACAUCCCAAAUCUUCAUUUAAAUUUAAUUUAAUUUACUUAAUUUAAAUUAAAUAAUAUUAUACCAUUGCUUAUUUAAUCCUUGUAAUUAGGCUUAAUCAAAACUUUAUUCCAGCAAUUUAUUAAUUUAUUAGAGGUGGUAAGAAAGAGAGAUAUUGCUACCUCUUUUCCUGCAAAAACUCAGUUUACUUUUUAUAUCAUUAGGCUUUUACACUCCUUUAAUUUCUUAAAUUGAUUUUUUACCAUAUUUAAGGUGUUAUAAUAUUUAAAAACCACUAAAUAUGCCACUUAUGUUUACAUAAAAGGACCCACCCUGUUGCACUUGUUGCUUGAGACUAUGAUCACACCAAAACUGAGCCAGGUCCUUAAGUCUUCUUGUUCAUAAACUAUUUUUUAGAUAACCACAGCACUCUUUGGCACCUGUGGAGAAUUUAGUCACUUCUUUCAAAAGCAUAAGUUUCAGUUAAUGCACAAGUUGGAGAUAAUAACAGAGACAAAUAAUCUUAAAAGUGAAAACACUGUGCCACACAGACCACUGCAGGUCACUAAAUGUAAACAUGUGACUUCACUCCUCUGAAAGAAAAUACAAAUAACCCUUAGAGACUGGAUUUGCAAACAUGAGGUGCAAAAAAUACUAUGAUUUUUCAAUUAUUUCUAUAUUUUGUUGUUGUCUUCAUUUUUCUCUUUAACUUUCAUAUGUGUUGUCCUGUCUUUUUCACUUUCUGUUUGUUACCUAUGAAAUCCAUUUCUCUCAUUCUUUCCUCCACUCCCUGCUCUCCACACCAGGGAGGAGUUUUGGCUCCAUUUUCUCAAUGCUCUCUCAUUUGGCAGUGUAGACAGUAGUUAAGUCCCCUGUAGAAUUUUCUUGUUUAGACUGAACAACCCCAAAUUUCUCAUCUUCUUCCCAUAUUUCAUGGGGCUCUGUGGCAAAUGGCAUAGGCUGGGAGUGGCUGAAAUUCAAUCAUAAGUGUUGAGACAGGAGUGAGAUUGUAAUUUAAAGGAAAGAGACACACCAGUCUCUGUGGGAGAUGCAAAGAACCUUCAAGAAGAGCUGAGUGAGAGCACCUGCAAUGGUGACAACCUGUUCAGAUGCUUCAAAAAUCUGAAUGGGCUGAUCAGAUAUAGUAUUCACUGUCCAACCCUUUAAUUGACAGGAUCUGGAGUAACUCAGGGAAAGACCUGUAUCACACAGCACAGACAGGACUUCUGCACUGGCCAACAUGAGCUUUCUCUGAGCGUGCAAUUUUUUUCCCCAAUGGGAAAAGGAGGUCAUAUACCACUUGCCAACAUUAAACAUAUCUGUAAGGGAGUGUGUUCAUUUGUGUUCAAGUCCAUUUACUCUCUGCACAGUCAAUUUGGUAUUAAACCACAAGAACAAAUGUUGAUAUCAGAAGUGGAAUGCCAUUGUACUAAUCAGGCAUCUGUAACAAGGGGGUGGAUGAUGAGUAUUAGGAUCUGGAAGAUGUUGCCAUUGCAGAAGCUGUCUCUGGGCUGUCCCUGAGCAAGGGAUAUCUGUCAUGGUAGAGGGUUGUACACAGAUACCUGAUUCCCAAAUUUGGCCAGUGAGUUGUAAAGUUGUUAAUGUCCUGAGGGCAGGCCAGAGACAUGGAGCUGCUACUCACUGGUGAGCCAGAGAAUAAAGGGUAGAUGUCUAGAGACUUACUCAAGACAUAAAUCAUUGCAAACUAUGUGCCAUCAUAAAAAAACCUCAGCAAACUAUUUGCCAUCUCUUUCUGAUAUAAUUUUAUUUUGCCUUUUGAGAUCAUUUUGUACUCUAAUUUUUUUGGUAGUUCAAAAUUAUGUCUUAAUAAAGAAAAAAAUAUCUUAAGUGGACUGUUGUGAGUACAUAAAUUACAUGAAAAAAAUCUGGAUUUUUACAUAAGAUCUUAUAUUUUCCCCCAAAUAAAAUAUAUUUUCAGAAUG
Molecule: non-coding RNA, 9905 nt
Organism: Taeniopygia guttata (zebra finch)
Lineage: Eukaryota; Metazoa; Chordata; Aves; Passeriformes; Estrildidae
Source: RefSeq, a predicted model, not a curated record